GUGGGGAAUAUUGGGCAAUGGGCGCAAGCCUGACCCAGCAACGCCGCGUGAAGGAAGAAGGCUUUCGGGUUGUAAACUUCUUUUACCAGGGACGAAACAAAUGACGGUACCUGGUGAAUAAGCCACGGCUAACUACGUGCCAGCAGCCGCGGUAAUACGUAGGUGGCGAGCGUUAUCCGGAUUUAUUGGGGGUAAAGGGCGUGUAGGGGGGACAGCAAGUCAGAUGUGAAAACCAGAGGCGCAACCUCUGGCCUGCAUUUGAGACUGUGGUUCUUGAGUGUCGGAGAGGUAAUCGGAAUUCCGUGUGUAGCGGUGAAAUGCGUAGAUAUACGGAGGAACACCAGUGGCGAAGGCGGAUUACUGGACGAUAACUGACGCUGAGGCGCGAAAGCGUGGGGAGCAAACAGGAUUAGAAACCCGAGUAGUCC
Molecule: ribosomal RNA, 428 nt
Filed under: uncultured bacterium
Lineage: Bacteria
Description: partial 16S ribosomal RNA
Rfam family: Bacterial small subunit ribosomal RNA
Source: RNAcentral